GAUGAACGCUGGCGGCGUGCCUAAUACAUGCAAGUCGAGCGAAUGGAUUAAGAGCUUGCUCUUAUGAAGUUAGCGGCGGACGGGUGAGUAACACGUGGGUAACCUGCCCAUAAGACUGGGAUAACUCCGGGAAACCGGGGCUAAUACCGGAUAAUAUUUUGAACUGCAUGGUUCAAAAUUGAAAGGCGGCUUCGGCUGUCACUUAUGGAUGGACCCGCGUCGCAUUAGCUAGUUGGUGAGGUAACGGCUCACCAAGGCAACGAUGCGUAGCCGUGCAGGGUGGGUGAUCGGCCACACUGGGCCGUAGAAACGGCCCAGACUCCCACGGGGGGCAGAAGUGGGGAAUUUGCCGAAAUGGACGAAAGUCGGACGGAGCAACGCCGCGUGGGUGAUGAGGGCUUUCGGGUCGAAAAACUCUGUUGUUAGGAAAGAAAAAGUGCUAGUUAAAUAAGCUGGCACCUUGACGGUACCUAAACAGAAAGCCACGGCUAACUACGUGCCAGCCGACGCAGUAA
Molecule: ribosomal RNA, 515 nt
Filed under: uncultured bacterium
Lineage: Bacteria
Description: partial 16S ribosomal RNA
Rfam family: Bacterial small subunit ribosomal RNA
Source: RNAcentral